AAAAUACUCCCUCCGUCCGAAAAACUUGUCAUAUAAACGAAUGUAUCUAGAUGCAUUUUAGUUCUAGAUAUAUUCAUUUUUAUCAAUUUGUGCGGCAAGUAAUUCCGGACGGAGGGAGUAGUUA
This is a non-coding RNA of Hordeum vulgare subsp. vulgare (domesticated barley), 124 nucleotides long. The record is from Rfam. NCBI's taxonomy places the organism in Eukaryota, Viridiplantae, Streptophyta, Magnoliopsida, Poales, Poaceae.